Molecule: long non-coding RNA, 619 nt
Filed under: Pan troglodytes (chimpanzee)
Lineage: Eukaryota; Metazoa; Chordata; Mammalia; Primates; Hominidae
Description: long non-coding RNA NONPTRT004925
Source: RNAcentral
AUAUUAUACAUUUAUAAAAUAAAAUUAAAUAAGAUUUGGGGGAACACACUGAAAUUACAUCAACAGAAACAAGUGGAGAUAACUGUAUAUCAGUUUGAUAUCAUAACCGCAUAGAAGAAAAUGAUAAUAACUACAAACACUUUUUGAACACAUUGAUCUGUUUGUGUAGAAGAAGAACUUAAAGAAAUCCUGAACUUUAUUGAAAAAUUUGCUGUUGGUAGUGGAUUUGGGGCUGCAGUCCCUAAACUAUUUUCUGUUCAUUGUAAGAUUGAGCAAAAAGUAAAUAUAUGGAUGUUAUUGAAAAGCAGGGUUCUUUUGGAGAGAAGGGGGAUUCAAAAAUGAAAUGGGAGGAGGGGAAGAAGUUCAAGAUGUUGGAAUGACAUUAGAAGUACUGGUAUGAAAUAAUUUUUGAACAUUUACUUUUUAUCUGUCUCCGCUAAACUGUCCUAGAAGCUGUUUAAUAGGCCUGGGGCAAGGGAAGUAAAAAAUAUUUGUGCCAGAAAGUAAGGAAGCACUCAAAACUGAUGGAGACAUGUCAAAAGUAAAUCGGAAAUAAAGAGGCAAAAUUAUCCCUGUUCACAGAUGAAUUGUAUGUAGAAAACUCUAAGAUUCAAGAAAA